AGUAGACCCCGCUGGUAGGCGCGUAGACUCACGCCGGUGAAGAGACGGCCGCUCUCCAAACAACCCUUCCAAUGAGCCCGCGAGGUUGCCUCUCUGCUUAUAGCCGAGCUCUCAAACCCUUCUCCCGCGCUAUCUCAUGGAAGCCGACGGGGAGGCCGCAGCAAACCCUAAUCUCGGAAGUGUCGCGAUCGGGGACGGGCCUCCACUCCGGCGCCUCCACGACCGCGCGGCUCCUGCCCGCGAUGGCCGGCGAGGGGCGGUACUUCGUCUCCGGGCUCAGCCGGUCGAGGGUCCCCGCCAAGAUCGACCACGCCGUGGACUCCCCCCUCUGCACCACUCUUUGCGGCGAUGGGGCUAGGGUCCGGACCGUCGAGCACCUCCUCUCGGCUCUGGAGGCGUGUGGGGUCGAUAACUGCCGCAUCGAGAUCGAAAGCGGAGACGAGGUCCCUUUGUUAGAUGGUUCGGCAAAAGGAUGGGUUGAGGCGAUAGAACAAGUUGGGUUGUGUGCUGCAGAGAAUUCCUGUGGCCAUAAUAUGGAUAAACUAGCACCCGAGCUGCAUGAGCCUAUGUAUUUAAGGAGGAACGAUUCUUUUGUAGCUGCCUUCCCAUCCUCCAAAGUUCAGAUCACUUAUGGAAUAGACUUUCCAAAGGUGCCUGCUAUUGGUUGUCAGUGGUUCUCUUCUUUCUUGGAUGCCUCUAUAUACUUGAAAGAAAUAGCUUCUUCAAGAACCUUUUGCAUAUAUGAGGAGGUUUGGUUACGUCUUACUGCACCUGUAUCAGUGAUCUUAUUUUCAUCAUUGCUGCUAUUGCUUGUCUUCCUCUGUCUUGGUUACAUGAUAUAAUAUCAACAUUUUUACAUGGUGGCUGUAACUUCAGCGUUUUUUGUUUGCAUUCUUCGGGUUUGUCCUUGAAACCCAAAGAUGAAGGAGUGGAUUGAUUUCUGUGAGAAAAAAGCAGCAGAAUUGUAUCUAUUGAAAUAAGGGGCAUGUGAAGAAAAAGGUAUUCCUUUCUAUCAAGAAAAAAGAAAGGGACGGCCUUCCAAAAAACUAAGUAAGAGUGGAGUUGGCAGAAGCAGGCAUAAGAGGAGCCUAACAACAAUUUGUUAGAAAGAAAAUUCAUGCGGCAAGCCCAAGUAGAUGGAACAAAGGUUACCAAGAGAAUAGAUCAGAUGUGACGAGCGUAUCAUCGCCAUACUACGUUCUAUGGGCCAUAUGCAUCAUGUGUGUACUUGAGAUUGUCUGGAUGCUUUAAAUGCUGUCACGCCUAAGCCUCUUUCUAGAUGGCUGGUACAUGGGCAUCUUUUGAUUGCAAGAUAUUUUUAGAUUUGUCACUUUUUUUCCUACUUUCUAUCUCAAUCGACAGUCCUGCUUUCAAAAUGCAGACCUUGUUCUUCUCUCGACAACUUUUGGCAGAAUGCAUUGCUACUUUAUUGUUUCAAUUUCCGGUUUUUGUAGUAUUAAAUUCAGUUGUGGUUCUGCACUUUCAUUUAUUUCAUAAUAGUAUUUGAACAUUUUGAAUAUGCAAUGGUAAUACUGAUGUAUUUAAUCUAAAAUUUUCUCAUAUUAUCUCAUAUAUCAUGAGCUAUCUAUGUGCAUACAAAUUGUUUGUAGGUUGAAAGAAUGCGCAAUGCUGGGCUGAUUCAAGGAGGAUCAGCUGAAAAUGCCAUUGUUUGCAGCUUGCUUGAAGCCAAUUGGUGCUGACAUUAAACUCUGUGGGAUCUUCUCAUGUUGCCAAUGCUGGUUGGUUAAAUCCACCACUACGUUUUCAUGAUGAACCUUGUCGCCACAAAGUUUUAGAUCUUGUGGGGGACUUUUCUCUCUUUGCACAAAAUGGUAACCAAGGGCUUUUGCUUGCGC
This is a non-coding RNA of Elaeis guineensis (African oil palm), 1856 nucleotides long. NCBI's taxonomy places the organism in Eukaryota, Viridiplantae, Streptophyta, Magnoliopsida, Arecales, Arecaceae. The record is from RefSeq and is a predicted model, not a curated record.